UAUGAUCCCUGUUGGAGAUCUGCGUCUUUACCAGUGGAUUCAUAGAACGCUACUCUUUGAAGGAAUGGCAUGGAGUCCCUCUUUUACAUUAGAGCGAAUGUUGUGAAGGGGAGCUGACACCUCUCAGUGGGAUUUGCAGGCGAGAGAAGAUGUACCUCGGUGAUUUUCACUUAAAAGUUGUCCAUUUUCAUCUUCACCCCGUCGAAGAUCCAAGCCCGAACUCGCAGUGACAAGCAAAGCAGCACAGGGACUCCUAGAGGCUCGGGGAUAUUAUAUUCUAAACAGCACGCACGGAUUGAUUGGAGUCAAGUCAUGUCACACAAGCAGACGAGACGAUAGACUCUGGAUAUUAACACGUAAGGAGGAAGGAACACCGUGACUUCAAUGGCUUUCCCACCUCUCGGUGACGGGUCGUAGAAGUAGAAGCCGUUCCACAGCUUCGUAGCGUGUCAAACAGCGGCUGGUUUCCCCCAUCCAAAGUCCAGACUAUACAUUGUAAAUCUUGGAGAGCUGCCAGAGAUUGGUAAACACAACAUUGGAGUUAUUUUGUUGUUCUUGAGUGUGCUUUGCAAAAGUCUAGUAUUUUCCUUUCAGAUCAUUACAUAGUUGUGAAAUUUAUAUAUAUCCCAACUGUAGUCUGCAUUUCUAUUCUGCAUAAACUUCUAUACAAACUCAAUUAAUAUA
Molecule: long non-coding RNA, 684 nt
Organism: Selaginella moellendorffii
Lineage: Eukaryota; Viridiplantae; Streptophyta; Lycopodiopsida; Selaginellales; Selaginellaceae
Exons: 2
Source: RefSeq, a predicted model, not a curated record